This 391-nucleotide ribosomal RNA is filed under the name uncultured bacterium. Its description in RNAcentral is "bacterial SSU rRNA". It matches the Rfam family "Bacterial small subunit ribosomal RNA", at positions 30 to 426 of the family's 1533-position model. The record is from RNAcentral.
AUUGAACGCUGGCGGAAUGCUUUACACAUGCAAGUCGAACGGUAGAGGGGGCAACCCCUUGAGAGUGGCGAACGGGUGAGUAAUAUAUCGGAACGUGCCCAGUCGUGGGGAUAACGUAGCGAAAGCUACGCUAAUACCGCAUACGAUCUAUGGAUGAAAGCGGGGGAUCGCAAGACCUCGCGCGAUUGGAGCGGCCGAUAUCAGAUUAGGUAGUUGGUGAGGUAAAGGCUCACCAAGCCGACGAUCUGUAGCUGGUCUGAGAGGACGACCAGCCACACUGGGACUGAGACACGGCCCAGACUCCUACGGGAGGCAGCAGUGGGGAAUUUUGGACAAUGGGCGCAAGCCUGAUCCAGCAAUGCCGCGUGCAGGAUGAAGGCCUUCGGGUUGU